GCCGAUAUAGCUCAGAUGGCAGAGCAGCCCCUUCGUAAGGGGCAGGCCGUCCGUUCGAUCCGGACUAUCGGCACCA
Molecule: transfer RNA, 76 nt
Filed under: Paraburkholderia caledonica
Lineage: Bacteria; Pseudomonadati; Pseudomonadota; Betaproteobacteria; Burkholderiales; Burkholderiaceae
Also listed under: 2 other names
Description: tRNA-Thr
Rfam family: tRNA
About the family: Transfer RNA (tRNA) molecules are approximately 80 nucleotides in length. Their secondary structure includes four short double-helical elements and three loops (D, anti-codon, and T loops). Further hydrogen bonds mediate the characteristic L-shaped molecular structure. tRNAs have two regions of fundamental functional importance: the anti-codon, which is responsible for specific mRNA codon recognition, and the 3' end, to which the tRNAs corresponding amino acid is attached (by aminoacyl-tRNA synthetases). tRNAs cope with the degeneracy of the genetic code in two manners: having more than one tRNA (with a specific anti-codon) for a particular amino acid; and 'wobble' base-pairing, i.e. permitting non-standard base-pairing at the 3rd anti-codon position.
Source: RNAcentral